AAAGGGUAGCAAUACCUGAGUACAGCGGCGCACGGGUGAGUAACACGUGGAUAACCUGCCUCAAAGUGGGGAAUAACACCGGGAAACCGGUGCUAAUACCGCAUAUUCUGAUGGAAUCUGUGGAUUUUGUCAGUAAAGGAGCAAUUCGCUAUGAGAGGGGUCCGCGGCUGAUUAGCUAGUUGGUGAGGUAAUGGCUCACCAAGGCAACGAUCAGUAGCCGGUCUGAGAGGACGGUCGGCCACACUGGAACUGAGACACGGUCCAGACUCCUACGGGAGGCAGCAGUGGGGAAUUUUUCGCAAUGGGGGCAACCCUGACGAAGCAAUGCCGCGUGGAUGAUGAAGUAUUUCGGUACGUAAAAUCCUUUCGACGGGGACGAAACCGCAAGGUUGACGGUACCCGUAGAAGAAGCCCCGGCUAACUCCGUGCCAGCAGCCGCGGUAAUACGGGGGGGGCAAGCGUUGUUCGGAAUUACUGGGCGUAAAGGGUGCGUAGGCGGCUUUCUAAGUUGGAUGUGAAAACUCUGGGCUCAACCCAGAGACUGCAUCCAAAACUGGAGAGCUUGGGUUCUGGAGGGGAAAGCGGAAUUCCUGGUGUAGCGGUGAAAUGCGUAGAUAUCAGGAGGAACACCGGUGGCGAAGGCGGCUUUCUGGACAGAUACCGACGCUGAGGCACGAAAGCUAGGGGAGCAAACAGGAUUAGAUACCCUGGUAGUCCUAGCCCUAAACGAUGGAUACUUGCUGUGAGGGGGAUUGAAACCCCUUGUGGCGAAGCUAACGCAUUAAGUAUCCCGCCUGGGGAGUACGGUCGCAAGGCUGAAACUC
This 824-nucleotide ribosomal RNA is filed under the name uncultured Bacillota bacterium. RNAcentral's name for it is "bacterial SSU rRNA". It matches the Rfam family "Bacterial small subunit ribosomal RNA", at positions 71 to 902 of the family's 1533-position model. The record is from RNAcentral. Lineage: Bacteria; Bacillati; Bacillota.